UUUCGCAAUGCCCGAAAGGGUGACGAAGCGACGCCGCGUGAGCGAAGAAGGCCUUAGGGUUGUAAAGCUCUGUCAAGGGUUAUGAAAUGUAGAUGGGUUAAUACCCCAUUUAUUUGACAAAGGCCCAAAAGGAAGCCACGGCUAACUCUGUGCCAGCAGCCGCGGUAAUACAGAGGUGGCGAGCGUUGUUCGGUAUUAUUGGGCGUAAAGAGCACGUAGGUGGUUUUGUAAGUCAGGUGUGAAAGCCUUCUGUUCAAAGGAAGAACGGCAUCUGAAACUGCAGAUCUUGAGUGUAGGAGGGGAGAGUGGAACUUCUGGUGGAGCGGUGAAAUGCGUAGAUAUCAGAAGGAACGUCGGCGGCGAAAGCGACUCUCUGGCCUAUUACUGACACUGAGGUGCGAAAGUUAGGGGAGCAAACGGGAUUAGAUACCCCGGUAGUCCUAACCGUAAACGAUGGGCACUAAGUAGAGGGGUUUUA
This 478-nucleotide ribosomal RNA is filed under the name uncultured bacterium. RNAcentral describes it as "bacterial SSU rRNA". It matches the Rfam family "Bacterial small subunit ribosomal RNA", at positions 364 to 833 of the family's 1533-position model. The record is from RNAcentral.